Molecule: ribosomal RNA, 497 nt
Filed under: uncultured bacterium
Lineage: Bacteria
Description: partial 16S ribosomal RNA
Rfam family: Bacterial small subunit ribosomal RNA
Source: RNAcentral
GAUGAACGCUGGCGGCGUGCCUAAUACAUGCCAGUCGAGCGAACGGACGAGAAGCUUGCUUCUCUGAUGUUAGCGGCGGACGGGUGAGUAACACGUGGAUAACCUACCUAUAAGACUGGGAUAACUUCGGGAAACCGUAGCUAAUACCGGGUAAUAUUUUGAACCGCAUGGUUCAAAAGUGAAAGACGGUCUUGCUGUCACUUAUAGAUGGAUCCGCGCUGCAUUAGCUAGUUGGUAAGGUAACGGCUUACCAAGGCAACGAUGCAUAGCCGACCUGAGAGGGUGAUCGGCCACACUGGAACUGAGACACGGUCCAGACUCCUACGGGAGGCAGCAGUAGGGAAUCUUCCGCAAUGGGCGAAAGCCUGACGGAGCAACGCCGCGUGAGUGAUGAAGGUCUUCGGAUCGUAAAACUCUGUUAUUAGGGAAGAACAUAUGUGUAAGUAACUGUGCACAUCUUGACGGUACCUAAUCAGAAAGCCACGGCUAACUACGUG